Molecule: ribosomal RNA, 252 nt
Filed under: uncultured bacterium
Lineage: Bacteria
Description: partial 16S ribosomal RNA
Rfam family: Bacterial small subunit ribosomal RNA
Source: RNAcentral
UACGUAGGAUGCGAGCGUUAUCCGGAUUUAUUGGGUUUAAAGGGUGCGUAGGCGGACGCUUAAGUCAGCGGUAAAAUUGCGGGGCUCAACCUCGUCGAGCCGUUGAAACUGGGUGCCUUGAGUGGGCGAGAAGUACGCGGAAUGCGUGGUGUAGCGGUGAAAUGCAUAGAUAUCACGCAGAACUCCGAUUGCGAAGGCAGCGUACCGGCGCCCUACUGACGCUGAGGCACGAAAGUGCGGGGAUCGAACAGG